UUUUUUGAAGUGUUUCACAUUAUCUUUUCAUGAUAAAAAUAAGCUUUUUGCUUCUUUUUGAAAGC
RNAcentral lists this transfer RNA (65 nucleotides) under Bulinus nasutus. RNAcentral's name for it is "tRNA-Glu". The record is from RNAcentral. Lineage: Eukaryota; Metazoa; Mollusca; Gastropoda; Planorbidae.